AAUCUUCCACAAUGGACGAAAGUCUGAUGGAGCAACGCCGCGUGAGUGAAGAAGGUUUUCGGAUCGUAAAACUCUGUCAUUGGGGAAGAAUAAAUGACGGUACCCAAUGAGGAAGCCCCUGCUAACUAAGUUCCAGCAGCCGCGGUAAUACGUAGGGGGCGAGCGUUGUCCGGAAUUACUGGGCGUAAAGGGUACGUAGGCGGCUAUAUAAGUCAGGUGUGAAAUACCAGUGCUUAACACUGGAAUUGCAUUUGAAACUGUGUAGCUUGAGUGCAGGAGAGGAAAGUGGAAUUCCUAGUGUAGCGGUGAAAUGCGUAGAGAUAUGGAGGAACACCAGUGGCGAAGGCGACUCUCUGGUCUGCAACUGACGCUGAGGCGCGAAAGCGUGGGGAUCAAACA
This 399-nucleotide ribosomal RNA is filed under the name uncultured bacterium. RNAcentral describes it as "partial 16S ribosomal RNA". It matches the Rfam family "Bacterial small subunit ribosomal RNA", at positions 360 to 774 of the family's 1533-position model. The record is from RNAcentral.